RNAcentral lists this long non-coding RNA (186 nucleotides) under Fukomys damarensis (Damara mole-rat). RNAcentral describes it as "lncRNA (ENSFDAG00000033177.1)". Lineage: Eukaryota; Metazoa; Chordata; Mammalia; Rodentia; Bathyergidae. The record is from RNAcentral.
AUCGUUUUCCGGGAGAAGAGAAACUGUGGAGUUUUAAAGAGUAGCCGGGGCGCAGGCCUGGUGGGGGAUAGUGAGGAAACUGAGGCACGGCAGGACUGAAGAAGUUGCCCAUGGCGUUGCAGAGCAGUAAGUAAUGAGCCAGGCUGUCGUCCCGGGUAUGGCUCUGACGUAUAUGUCGUUGUUGUU